GAUGCCACGUGGGAGGCGGCGGAGCCGCCGCCGCCGCCGGGCCGGACCCGCGGCCCCGCUGACGCUCGGGACGGCGCUCGCCGGCCGCCGGGAGGAGGGGAGGUCGCGGAGCCCCCGGGACCGCACCGGCAUCGCCGAGACCCGAUGGGUGCUCGGCGCGGUGGCGCCCGGCUCGCGGCUCGGCCUCCCGGGCCUAGAGGCGCUGGCGGCGGCGGCCGGGCCUAGGGGCGGCUCCCCGCCCUGGGCGGCGCCCUCGCUGCUGCAGGUGCCGGCGGCGGCCCAGCCGGCCCCGCGGCGGGACGGCAGCGACCUGCCCGCGGGUGCGCCGGCCGCCCUGGCCGUGCUGCGCCUCCAGCCUGGCGCCGAGGGCUCGGCGCGGGUGGCGGCGGCGGGGGCCGCGCCGCGCCUGCGGACCGUCUACGUGAACCCGCGGUGGCUGGAGCGCCAGGCCGCGCUGGGGGCGGCGGCGGCGGCCGCCAGCCCCUGCGCCGAGGCGGCGGCGGCAGCGGCGAGCGGCGCGGCUGCGGGCCCGGCCGCGGGCCCGGCCGGGGGCCCAGCGGCGGCGGCGGCGGCGGCGGGGCAGGGCGAGGCGGCGGCGGAGGCGCCGGCCACCCCCUACGUGGGGCUGCGGCGGCCGCUGGGCUACAAGCUGGCCAAGGCCACCAAGGAGCGGAUCUGGCGGGGGGAGUUCAUUGACCUCUUUUCCUUGCUCCACACAGAGCUGGCCCCCGAGCACGGCCCGCGCCCGGGGGACACGCUGGACCAGUGGGUCUCAGCCUUCCUGGUGUACGCCAGCGUGCUGUGCGAGAAGCACCCGGCGCGCUGCGGAGCCAUGUUCAAGUACCUGGACACCAUCCGCAAGCUGCACGCCACCUACGGGGGCACCUCCUGGAUGAACUACGACGAGGACUUUAGGAGGCGGGCGGCGAAGAACCCCUCUCUGCCCUGGGGUGACGUCGACCUGGACCUGUGGAUGAAGUGGAUGGCGCCGCUCAAGUCGCUUGUCCCCAGGCACUCGCGGGCUGAGGGCGAGACACAGCCCUCGCCGGCCCCGCCGGCCCCGCCAGCGCAGAGCCCCAAGCAGGAGGAGAAAAGCCAGGUGUGAUGAGCCGAUGGCCGCGUGUUUUCCCGCUCCGCUGGCUGGGCAUGGUGCCCCCUCGGAGGGGAAGAGCAGGAAGGGGCAGUUGGGGUGCCCAUACAUUGGUCGGCGGCUCCAGUCUCACGGCGCUGACCCUUUGCUCGUGCUGACCAUAGGGACGUGGUAUCACGGGUGCCCAGCUGGCCACCGUUAGAGAUGUGGUCGCUGAUGGACGCUGAGUAAAUAACUGUAGCCUUUAUUGCCCUGGCCACCAGAAAACAGGAACUCCACUAGUUCCCUCCCCCGAUACAUAACUUCAUCUUCCUGAAGACAUUAGAAAAAGAUGUGGUUUUAUUUUUUUCCUCUGAGUUGUCUUUAAAAAAAUAACUUUCUCAUCAAUACAGUUAUUUGUAUGUAAGACAAAGCGUACAGACUCUCCUGUUACUAUGGGAGCAUGUGGGUAGUUGCAGGCUGUGUGGGAGGGCAGCAAAAUUGAUGUGAAUAAAGAUAAAAUUCAGUAUGAGUGGCCACAUCUUGCAAAUGCACUGUGAUUUGAAGAUCAAACCUGGUUUGGGACUCAGGAGGUGUAAUAUACAAGUUAUCACCUGUUUUGUGGGAAAAGAUGACUCCAUGAAAACAGAAGGCCAGUUGGGAUGGCAGUCAGACUAAUUGGCCUGACUCCGUUGGUGUUUAAGUGGAGCUCUGGUAUUCUAGUGCAUUCUUUUACCUCUGCUUCUGUUGCGUUGCAAGCUGUGCUAGAGAAGACGUAGGAAAUUCAUUUUACCCAAUCAGCAAUUGUAACAAUGGACUACAAACCUGCAGAGCAAGCCAGUUUGCUGGAAAACAGGAAUUCCUGCAGCGCAGCACUUGUCACAGACUAUCCAAAGAGGGCAAAGAUUCAGGAAGGUGAAUAAAUUGAACAUUGGUUGAAUGAGGUCAGGAACAGUCUCCCGGAGGAGAACCCUGCUCUAAAAUACUACUUUGAAAGUAAAAGCCAAUUUAAUGUGCAGAUUAAACCUUCUCAUUUGACCAAACUGUGUGCAAUCCUGGAUCUUUGCAGAUCACAACCGGACACUUCAAAACCUUAUGUACUAUAUUUGUUUAAAAAAAAAAUAAAUCAUAACUUGUCUUGUUACAGCUGUUACUUUUGCCAUUUCAUUGAGAAUAUUUGCAACAUAAAUGUGUAUUUGACUCAAAACAGUAUCAUACACUUGCUAUAAUAACUCAGGUUGUCAACAGAAUUAUUCUGUGAGGCUCAGUAUCACCUCUCCAUUGUUCUUUAAAAAAUGCGUUAACCAUUGCUGUCAUUGCCAGAUAGCCCAACUGUGCAUUACAAAAUUCUUCAACUAUAGUAAUUGACCUAAAUUACAAUUUUGUUUUUAUUCUUGUUAGAAUACCUAAGAUCCUGAGCAUCAGACUACACUUUUGUAGUCUGGUGUUCAUGAAAAUUAUGUUCGCUGGUUCAUGGUUUAAUCGUUCUGCAUCUCAGUGUUUUGUUUUCUUUUCCUUUUUCCUUGCAUACUAGGGGUUAUGAUCAAGGUAAUACUAUGAUCCAGUAACACGCAUGAUGGUAAGGGUUUGCCUUUAGUUGUUUCAGGAAAAAGUUGCCAUUAUCUCCUCUCCUUUACGUUUCUCGAUAGUUCCAAUAAUAUGCGUAACAUGGAGUGUUUGUAAAUUGAUAUCAAACUGUUUGUGACUUCACCUAAAUAAAUUUUUAUAUUCAAAUGCUGUUCUUAAUCUUAGUGGUUUUUCCUCCUUUGUUCUUAUAUUGCCACUUCCCUUUUGUAAUCACUUUUUUCUAUCACCUGACCUUUUUACAAAAUUUUUGGUUUUCAGUUAGUAAAGCACAACCAAAUUUUAACUAUGAAGAGAAAACAGCCUUUGAAAUUUGCUUCCAAUAUUUUGCAUAAAGACUUCAUAAUGUAACUGUAGUUGUAGCUUAUUCAUCUGCCACUUGUUUAGACAGUGAUAGGUAUCAGGCCUUGAUCUGUCUAAAACUGCAAUAACUGCUGUGCUAAAAUACCAGUAUUUAAUGGCCCCCGAACUCAAACCGAUCAAGUGAAUGCUGAGAUUCCUGCAUUCAGUACGGUAGAAUAUAGAGCACUUUUACAGAUGGAAUUACAAGUUUCAAAAUUCCUUUUCAUUUUUGAGAAGAGGCUUAAGCUCAGUCAUCAGAUCAUUCAUGUAAUUUUUCCCUUGUCCUGUUGCCUUAAGAAAUCAGAACUUGGUUACUCACUGGUCUGUGCUGUGUUUGUUACCAUCACUGCUACAUGAACUACAUGCCUGCUCCAUCACUGCAGGCAUCUCCUCCUGAGGAAGUGCUGUAACAGUGGCAGGAUUUGGGGAGAGAUGUGGGAGAGGGAGGGAAUGAGGAAGGAUGAGCAAAUACUGGUCUCUUCUGUCUCCCUCAUGAAUUGUUCAAGUGUGGGUCUUAACCUACUGACUCAGAGCAGCAAAGCAGCAACAGUUUUGUUUUUUGUGUCCUAUUUGGGAGCAGCAUACCCAGCUGGAGUCUGAAACACUUCCUAAUGUUCUUUAAUGAGUCCUUCUGCCAAGAAUUUUUUGGGUUUUUUGUUACUCUCUCCAGCCUUCAUACAGUCUGGUGCUCUUCCUGGCACUCUGUCACCUCCCAGUUUCCUGGUUGCUACUGGUGCUGGGUUGGACCACCCUGUCUGCUUUGUCUGCUGUAGACAAUUGCCAGAGCUUUGUCUUGCUCUUCAGUGUCAGUGGCUGCUUUAAACUUGCUGCCUGCUUUCAUAAAGAAACUUUAAUUUCACAUUAUUGGCAGUGCUGUUUUUACAACAUGUGGGACCUCCCCCUUCUCCCCUUGUUUUUCUCCUUCUUCAUCACUCUCUUUGAGCCACACAGUAAUUUCACUGUGGUACUUGUGUAUCCUUGCUUUGGGGUUUAUUGUUGCAUAUGUGCUUUCCCCCUUAUUGGUGCGCUGUAAGCUUCUGAAUGAAACUGCCUUGUACACUAGCUUCUCGUUAAAAGGGUUGGGCUUAAAUAGGUUUGUUCAAAUUUUAACAGUUAGUUACUGCACGGGUUUGCCUAUGUCCUUGACACCGAGUGAAUCUUACCUUUACAGCUCCUGAUGUCCCGUCCUUGUUGAGUCAGCAUGAUGGCUUAUGAAAGGGUGGUGCCAAAUCUUCUGUUCACUUCUGAUUUAUGAGUAGAUUUUUUAGUGAUUGGAAGCUAAACUUGCUGUCAUUUACAUGAUAUGGCAGGCAGCAUGAAGAAUUUGAAGAUUUUUACAAAGGUGCUGCAAAGCUUUUCACCAAGACAUGGAAUUUCCAGUAGGGAGUACUUGUAAAAUGCGUGGGAAUUGAUUUGAUUGGGAGGAUGACCCGCGUCCUAUGGAAAAAUAGUUUUCUCUCAGUUGACUAGAAUUAAGGAGCAUAUACUUUAGGGGAGUAAUUUCAGACAAGUUUAUUUUUAGGGAUUUCUAGCAGGAUAGGAUUCUUUUUCACAGAUGUUCUUUUUCGUGUGCUGGAUUGAUACACAUUGUUGCAAAGAACAAAUUAAAACCAGUGCAAUGUGACUGACAGCGCAAAAUGUGUUGCAAUGUAGGAUUGAGACUUAAAUACCUAAGUCUUUAUCAAGCUUUUAAAAAGAGUUGAGCUUCAGCAGAAGUAGACUCAAAUUUCUAAAUUUCUCAAAUUUCUAAAUUUCUACUCAGAAAUAGACUCAAGUUUCUAAUUUCCACCUGUGUGCAGCAGUUCGGUUGGAGAUACUUGAAGUAUCUUGAAAACUCAAUGCUGUUACUACUUUUGGUCGUAAUGAUGUGUCUUUAAAGGUAAGAUGACAGCAGAAUAUUUCGCAUGUGGGGUAGCCUGUCGCAUCUGCAGUUGAGCAAAAUCAUUACUUCUGAUCUCAGAAGAUCCUGACAGUUAUUCAGUGUGACUUCCAAUUUAAGCUUAAAACAUUGCUUUCCCAUCUUCUGCUGUCUCCUGUCAUCUUGCGAACUUGGUAAUCUUCUUUAUAAGAAUCUGGUGAGCACAGCAAACAUGUUCUGAGGGCCAGCUGUGGGAUCAGGCAGCAUCUGACCAGCCUGUCUGCAUGUACAGAGCCUUUCACCCCCGUAUAGGUAGCUCUGUGACGGUGGUGGUCUUGCAUUAAGGAAGUCAGGCUGGAUGGAGUGCACACAGGAGACUCCCCAGCUACCUGCAAGGCUUCUGUGUUUUUGAGAAGCCAGUGGCAUUGGCAACAGGUUUUUCUGUCCACUCCUCUGGUAAAACCAAAAGCCCCAGAGGCUGUUGCAACCAUUGAGGGGAGGGAUGUGACUCAGUUCUAACAGCCUAGGUGUUGGUGGAAAUGUUGCCUUAGUGAUCAAACUUCUUUUUAGGUUAUAUCCUUAACAUAUGCUACAACAACUGAUAAUGUCUAUGGAAUACUUUUGGUAGUUCUUUCUGCAAAGAAAACUCAGCUGGAGAAAUCACAAAGCUAGAUGUUACUUUUCCCGUCUUGGUUUGGCACUCAGGUUUGUCUUUUUCCCUUUUCAUGAAGUUCAGCAUGCAUCAGCCCAGUCCAAUAAAGGACACACAUUUUUAUCCAUAAAAUCUUCUGGGUCCAGCACUUUUUUUCUUCCCCUGGGAACUCUCAUCAAAGCCAGCUGGCAUCUUUGCAGUUUAGCAGUUUACUGGGCAAUCAGCUAAACAGCAGUGAAGAUUUAAAAAGCAGGAACAUGUUUAUGUUAUUUUACAUUUUUGUAAAUGUGAAAUAAUUCAGUAAGUACUUUUACCUUUUUUGGUGGUUGUUGCUCUUUCUUUACUGUAAAGAAUACUUUCUUUUUCAUAAUGUCUCAGUGCAGUGUUGCUGUUGCAAUAUUUCCAAGGCAGCAGGGGAAUGUUUACAUCCAAACAAAAUUGUUUUCUUUGAAUUUUUUUUAUUGCAAAUAUUUGUGUCUAUAAAACCCUUUCCAUAAAACUUUUUUUUUUUUAUUCUGUGCAAAGUUAAAAUUGGAUCACAGUUUUCAGAUUUGUUUAUUUUCUGAACCAUGUAGGAGCAUUGUAUCUGAACCUACAUCAGCAGGUGUGGAAGGUGCUGCUUCUAAUGGCAGUUCUAAUGAUCAGAAGUCGAGUGGUUGUUUAAAAACAGCUACAUUGUUUGCACUGGCUUCACAUGUUACAAGCACCGUUUGCAUUGCUGAUGUUCAAAGUGUCCAUAAAUAUUACCCCCCAAUAUGAGUUUACAUGAAGACAGGAGGCAGUUAAAGAGUUACAUGAAGGCAGUAAAGUAUGCAGGUGUGGGUUGGUGGGGCAGCUUCGUUGGUAAGCUGCAAGACAACAUGGUGGCAGAGGACCUGGGCUGUGUGUCCCCGUAGAUGUGCCUGACAUAAACAGAGGCAAGACAUGCCCUUGAAAGGUGUAACGUGGGCCAAGAGCUCGUUUUCAUACCUCCUCUGCCUAAACUUCCCACCCUCCACUUGAGUGUUCUGGCAUGUAUCUUCCACCAUACCUCCCUUGUUUCUGCUCUUGGGUUUUUUUACUUUAUAACAGUGAAAUGUCAUUCUUGUGAGUGUUUGGAAUGAAGAAAUACCCCUGGGACAUGCAGAUGGUUCCCUACUGUCUAUAUGUUUCCUGUGGAUGAUCUAGGCAGUGCUAAGGGAAAAGAUUUUUUUUCUCCAAUUUUUAGCUGGAGAAUGACAGUUAUACAAGUACUUAACAGAGGUGCUGGAAUUCCAAAUGUUAGCAACUGGAUUCUGGAGAAUAAAAUAAGAUCGGUUGGAGGUGGGGAAAUUUCUGAGAGUGUCCUUGCUCAGAGCAUGCAGGCAUGUAUCUUGCUGCACUUGGUGUACCUGGGGGUAAUGGACUUGAAGCAGUAGGCUUCUUGAAGUGCUGUGGGAUUGGGAGAAGCAUUUAAUUUUCCUGUUCUCUAUCAUUUUCCUUGUCCUUUCUCCCUCACCAGCAGUCUUCCAAGUGAGAUAUGCGACUUUGUUGUCAAGCACUGGACAACAGGGGAAAUCUCACUGCCAUUACAUUGGGUUGCUGGGAGAAAUUAGUGAGUUUAUACCUGUAAGAUCGUGGGGUUUUUCCAGAAGCAGCACAAUAAAUUUGGUGGUAUUGAAGGCAAAAAGAAAGGAAAAAGAGUGACUUUGAGGGUACCCAGUCUGUUUUUUGCUUUCUCAUUGGGGAAGAGAAGAUUUAGCUAUUUGGCUUAAUGUGAUAUUGACCAGUGGAAAAGCUUUGGGAAGAGUAUCUCAGUAAGAUUUGGUACCAGAAAAGAAAUUAUGUGUGCAUUGUUACUGCUGCAGGUGCUCUGUAGGCCGAUAUAUGAGCAGAAAAAGUAGCCUUGGCCAGGCUACCUGUGAUGUUGACCCACCAAGUCUGAGGGUGUUUCAUAGAACUGGUUACAGAAUCAUGCAGCCCAAGGAGGAAACUUAAGAGAGCACUCUUCUUGUGCCUUAGGAAGCUUUAAAAAAAA
Chiroxiphia lanceolata (lance-tailed manakin) is the source of this 7501-nucleotide RNA transcript. It is a transcript of the gene named transcription initiation factor TFIID subunit 4-like, with no coding region annotated. The record is from RefSeq and is a predicted model, not a curated record. Lineage: Eukaryota; Metazoa; Chordata; Aves; Passeriformes; Pipridae. The transcript is spliced from 3 exons.